Molecule: long non-coding RNA, 3753 nt
Filed under: Salmo salar (Atlantic salmon)
Lineage: Eukaryota; Metazoa; Chordata; Actinopteri; Salmoniformes; Salmonidae
Description: lncRNA (ENSSSAG00000113821.1)
Source: RNAcentral
AUCUAUAUUUUGUAUUAUUGUAUCAAUGUGGAGUGACAGUUCAAUAAAGGUUUCUAAGUCUAACUCGUUCUAGGCAUACGGCUCAGUGAGUCUUAUCAUUGUCUUAUCCUACCGUUCAAAGGAUAGACUAUUUUCGACAUUGUACAACAAAUAGGAUAAGGCGUAGGCUAUGGAUCCCAGCCGAUAUCUUACAGUCAAGAGAAGUCAAAGUAUGUUAUCUGCACUGUACGUAGUGUUUUAAUUCCAUUCCACCGUUGAAAAGUUGUCAGACUAUCACAUUGAAUAGAAUAGAAAGUUGUCAGAGUGUGUGAUAUGUGGGGGAGUAUGUUGAGUGUAAGUACAUUAGACCAUAUGUUUUGUUAGUUUGUUUUGUGCCAAUUCUGUAGACUUUGUUAUCUUUGACAGGAUGUCGCGUGGGUGUAGGCCUACUGUAGCAGUAGCUCUUCUGUACGCACUCUGAGGAAGAGGGGGACAAAUCCACAUGGUGCAAUGGUUACAAGGUGUGUAAUCAUAAGUCCAAAAUGUUUUGCAACGGCAUCCGUUUACUCCAAACGAAAACAAAAAAAGAGAGUUUCUAUUUGAAAAAUUCAGGUAGAUCCCUCCGUUUGGUUCCAUUUGGUUCCUAGUGAAUGUACCCCUGGGAUUCAGGUGUGUAGGCCUAGUCUGCUGUCUUGGUGUUGAGCAGGUGGCUGGAACUUCAGGCAAACAGAGAGAGAGAGGAAGGGUUACGGGUAAGUCACAUUUUUCCAUCUCUACUAGUUUUGAUACUUGGGCCUCUUUGAUGACACAAACUAGGUCGAGGAGAGAAUGGUGUGUAUUGUAAAGAGACGGAUCUACAUAGAUUAAAAUCUCUCUUUAAGAGAUGUCUUCUACACUACCUCCGCAGGUAGACGGUCUUCACACUGACUAGACUUUUCGCAAAAAUACUCUCAGCAGCUCAUUUUGUGACACUCACCCGACAGUUACCCCCCUCUAAGCAGGGCAGUUUAAACAGAAUUGUCUCGUUAAGCCAACACUCCUACAGUAAAAGUUGUAAUAGCAGAGCAAUUUCACAGUUGAAAUCUCCAGACAUUUUUCAUUUUUCUAAAAUCACCAGGGAAUUAUAAAAAUGUUCAGUCACAAUUUGCUUUUUACCUCAUAUCAUGACUUCCAUGAUAUUGAUAAAAUGAAACCUGGUUUGUUUGAAGGUAACUUUAAUGUCUCCUCACCUUGCAAGCUAAAUAUUUUGGCGGCAAUUUUACAAAUUUUGCCAUGGGGCAGAGAAGGAAAUUUGAAGUUGUACAGCUAAUUUUCUGCAAUUCCACACAUUUUUCAAUAGGGUAGAGAGAAAUGUUUUGAGUUUUUAAUAUGAUAUCUGAGUGAGAGUAACAAACAUAAUCAAUGGGGGCCCACCGAUCAGGAAUUACAGGUCAGACGCUAAAUUGUCUGUUCUGGCAAAGGUAUUGGAGUCCCUAGUCAAUAAGCAGCUUAAGGCCUACCUCCAGGAAAACAAUAUUUUGAGUGGUAUGUAAUCAGGUUUCAGGUCUAGAAACAGCAUUGUCACAGCAACUUAGAGAGUUUUGAGUGAUAUUAACUGAAGCUGCAUUGUGUAUUCAUAGACUUGUCAAAGGCAUUUGACACUGUGGACCAUACUGUCUUGGUGCAGAGACUGAAGUUCAUUGUUAUUACUGGUCAUGCUCUCGAGUGAUUUGUGAACUACCUGUCAAAUUGAACCCAGUGUGUUAAAGCAGAUGGUUGUAAGUCGGAGACCAUAGAGUUAUGCUCGGGUGUGCCUCAAGGAUCAAUUUCAGGUCCCAGGUCCCAUGUUGUUUGUUAUCUAGAUCAACAACAUUGGGAGACAAAUGACUAUCGUCUCUUUGCCCUCACCCUGGUCAUCAUGAAGUGUUUGGAGAAGCUGGUCGUGGACCACAUCCAGGCACACUGGACCCAAUUUGCCAACCGCUCAUACAGGUCCAUUGAAAAAUGCAAUUUCCAUCGCUAUUCACACCAAAAACACCUAUGUGAGAAUGUUGUUUAUUGGCUACAGUUCACCAUUCAACACUAUUGUUCCCUCCAAGCUCGACACCAAGCUCAAAUACCACCCUCUGCAACUGGAACCUGGACUUCCUGACGGGCAGACCAAAGGCUGUGAGGAUUGGCAACAACAACAACAUCUCCUCCACACAGGCUCCUCCCUUCAGGGGUGUGUCCUCAGCCCUCUGCUGUACUCCUUGUUCACCCAUGACAGCGUGGCUUUGCAUGACGCCAACUCCAUUAUCAAGUUUGCUGACGACACCACGUUGUACGCCUGAUCACCAACCUCGGCAAGUCAGCCAAUGCAGAGGAGGUGCCUUUUGGCAAACUCCAAGUGGGCUGUCAUGUGCCUUUUACUGAGGAGUGGCUUCCGCCUGGCCACUCUACCAUAAAGGCCUGAUUGGCGGAGUGCUGCAGAGAUGGUUGUCCUUCUGGAAUGUUCUCUCAUCUCCACAGAGGAACUCUGGAGCUCUAACAGAGUGACGAUCGGGUUCUUGCUCACAUCCCCGACCAAUGCCCUUCUCCUCAGAUUGCUCAGUCUGGUCGGGCGGCCAGCACUAGGAAGAGUCUUGAUGGUUCCAAACUAAUCAAAUUUAAGAAUGAUGGAAGCCACUGUGUUCUUGGGAUCUGUGCCUCGACACAAUCCUGUCUUGGAGCUCUACGGACAAUUCCUUCGACCUCAUGGCUUGGUAUUAGCUCUGACAUGCAAUGUCAACUGUGGGAACUUAUAUAGACAGGUGUGUGCCUUUCCAAAUCAUGUCCAAUCAAUUGAAUUUACCACAGGUGGACUCCAAUCAAGUUGUUGAUUGGAGUCAUCUCAAGGAUGAUCAAUGGAAACAGGAUGCACCUGAGCUCAAUUUCGAGUCUCAUAGCAAAGGGUCUGAAUACUUAUGAAAAUAAGGUAUUUCUAUUUUUCAUAUUUUAUAAAUUAGCAAAUAUUUCUAAAAACCUGUUUUCGCUUCGUCGUUAUGGAGUAUUGUGUGUAGAUUGAUGAGGAUUUAUUUUUAUUUAAUACAUUUUAGUAUAAGGCUAUAAACGUAACAAAAUGUGGAAAAUGUCAAGGGGUCUGAAUACCUUCCGAAUCCACCGUACCGUAGUUGUUUCUAGUUGUUACCCGAUGUCACUAGUUUGCGUUGCCUGAUGUAAGGAAGCAUGUUGUUUUAUUUCACACACACCACACACCACACUCAUGCCUGCAUGCACACACACGCACAUUGACUGUAUGUUUGCUGUUGUACUUGUGCUGUUGCCAGCGUCUUCUGUCGUUUUGUUGUACUUGUUUUUUUUUUGGGGGGGGGGGUUCCCCAUCCACACAUGAGGCCUAUUGCCUCUUGCCAGGCUAUCUUUGUAAAUAAAUGUUGUUAAUUGACUUGCCAAGUUAAAUAAAAAUGCAAUUCAACCAUGAUUAAGACAAGUUUAGAUAGCUGGCUAGACUAGCUUACUAAUCUAAAACAUUUUAUCUGACAUUGGCUACUUGAGUUACAGUCAGUGACUGACAUAACAAGAGAAAAACUGCUGAUGCACAAACAAAUUUCAAAAUUGCACCUUGUGUAUUCUCCUAUUCUAACUCUCAAGAGUAAGUUGAGACCUCGACUGAGUUUCUAAAAUAAAAAAAUAAUGAAAAAUACAUUUGUUUCAUUUUCAGAAUUAGAUCUGCAGGCCUACAAAAGUGCCCAUCCCUGCGCUAGUGUAAGCCUAAGUGUACAUAUCUAGCUAGCUAUGGCUCAGCUAAAAGUCAGC